Molecule: ribosomal RNA, 253 nt
Filed under: uncultured bacterium
Lineage: Bacteria
Description: partial 16S ribosomal RNA
Rfam family: Bacterial small subunit ribosomal RNA
Source: RNAcentral
UACAGAGGUGACAAACGUUGUCCGGAAUUAUUGGGCGUAAAGGGCGCGUAGGUGGUUGAGUAAGUCAGGUGUGAAAGCUCUGGGCUUAACCCAGGAAUUGCAUCUGAUACUGCUCGGCUUGAGUACGGUAGAGGAGGGUGGAAUUCCCAGUGUAGCUGUGAAAUGCGUAGAUAUUGGGAGGAACACCGGUGGCGAAGGCGGCCCUCUGGACCGAAACUGACACUGAAGCGCGAAAGCUAGGGGAGCAAACGGG